This 437-nucleotide long non-coding RNA is filed under the name Hordeum vulgare. Its description in RNAcentral is "long non-coding RNA (HVUL_LNC010960)". The record is from RNAcentral. Lineage: Eukaryota; Viridiplantae; Streptophyta; Magnoliopsida; Poales; Poaceae.
UUUUAGAUCUAUUUCAAUGUGCAUAUCCUUAGGGUUUGUCUUUCUUUGUCAAUUUUAUUUUUAGAUUAUACUACUUUACAUUAGACAAGAGUAUAGGAUUAUUUUCUAGCUCGGUUCUUCUUCUCUAAUAUGUGCAUUCAUGCAAUACUAACACGUGCUAUUAAGCAAAAUGUAGUUCUGCAUUACAAAGCAUUCAUCUUAUUUUAGUUUCUUCUAGAAAAAAGGCACCUCUCUAAUUGGUAGAUAUGCGAUACUUUGCCCACAAGAAUUAACAUAAAACCAGUGACGAUAUUUUUUAAGACAUAUCUUAUAUUUGCUAAAAACAUGCCAAAUUUGGAUGAGAAAUGAUAGAUGUGUGCAGAUAUGAGGCGUGGCGCCUAGCCCAACUCUUCUCCAACUUUUGCUGCUUCACCGGUAUUUAUCUGCGUGGUCGCCAC